GCGAGCUUAGCUCAGUUGGGAGAGCGUCAGACUGAAGUCAAACUUCAUCAUCUAUCUGAAGGUCGUGUGUUCAAUCCACACAGGUCGCA
This is a non-coding RNA of Podospora appendiculata, 89 nucleotides long. Lineage: Eukaryota; Fungi; Ascomycota; Sordariomycetes; Sordariales; Podosporaceae. The record is from the annotation of a GenBank genome assembly.